GAUGAACGCUGGCGGCGUGCCUAAUACAUGCAAGUCGAGCGGACGGACGAGAAGCUUGCUUCUCUGAUGUUAGCGGAGGACGGGUGAGUCACGCGUGGAUAACCUCCCUAUCAGUCUGGGAUAACUUGGGGAAACCGGAGAUAAUACCGGAGAAUAUUUUGAACCGCAGGGUUGAAAAGUAAAAGUCGGUCUUGCUGUCACUACUCGAUGGUUCUGCGCUGCAUUAGGUAGUAGGUACGGUAACGGCUUACCAAGGGAACGAUGCGUAGCCGACCUGCGGGGGUGAUCGGCCGCACUGGAGCUGGGACACGGUCCAGGCUCCUGCGGGAGGGAGCAGUCGGGUAUGGUCCGCAAUGGGCGAAAGCCUUGCGGAGUAACGGCGCGUGUGUGAUGGAGGUGCUCGGAGCGUAAUACCCUGUUAUGAGGGAAGAACAGAUGUGGAAGUAACUGUGGACAGCGUGACGGUACCUAAUCAGGAAGCCACGGCUAACUACGUG
RNAcentral lists this ribosomal RNA (497 nucleotides) under uncultured bacterium. Its description in RNAcentral is "partial 16S ribosomal RNA". It matches the Rfam family "Bacterial small subunit ribosomal RNA", at positions 28 to 507 of the family's 1533-position model. The record is from RNAcentral.